CAACUCUUAAGGACAACCAUCCUUCUAUACACCUAUAUAAAUCCAUCAAUAUAUUUAUUCGGCACCAAAUCGUGAACCGGGCUCUAAAGUAAUCACUGAGUUGUUUCAACCAAGCGUUCAAAACAGCGUUGCUUAUUAGCCCUUUGCCGUCGUGCCUUCCGAGCAUAUUGAAGCAGAACUCAGUAAGCAUUAAGUUAUUCAGUUACUAAUAAGGAGCAUGACUAUCAUGAGACAGAAAUGUAUGUUGCAGUAGUAAUAUAGCUUUGCAGGAGGAGCUUUUCAUUCGAUUAUCUGGUGCUUGUGCCUGGCUGAGUAGGCGAUAACCCGAAGCUUUUGUCUGUUGGGUUACGGUUGAACGCAUCCAAACCAGAAUUUAUUGAUAACGCGAUGAUUACCUUCUUUUCGUUUUUUUUUUUUUUUUUUUUUUUUUAAUUGAAUAUAAAUGAGAACUUCGGCUCCUGAAGCAACCAUGUUACACAGGGUCAUAGGUGAAUGUCUGUUAGUGUUGGUUAGCUAUUGAAGGAGAUAAACCUAUUGGUCACCUGACAGGGUCUCCAUUGCAAUUUCUAGUGUAGAGGUU
RNAcentral lists this non-coding RNA (580 nucleotides) under Lobosporangium transversale. RNAcentral describes it as "Eukaryotic large subunit ribosomal RNA". It matches the Rfam family "Eukaryotic large subunit ribosomal RNA", at positions 2389 to 3401 of the family's 3401-position model. Lineage: Eukaryota; Fungi; Mortierellomycota; Mortierellomycetes; Mortierellales; Mortierellaceae. The record is from Rfam by way of RNAcentral.